Molecule: long non-coding RNA, 490 nt
Organism: Pipistrellus kuhlii (Kuhl's pipistrelle)
Lineage: Eukaryota; Metazoa; Chordata; Mammalia; Chiroptera; Vespertilionidae
Exons: 2
Source: RefSeq, a predicted model, not a curated record
CCGGGGCCCUGCAGAGGAAGGGGUGAUGAGGCACUGACCGGCUCCUCCAGGGUGACCACGCGCCAGGCUCCUCCGUCCAGGACCCAGUGAGGGGUGACUGGCUCUCCGGGGGAGUUUCCUGGUGUGAGGACAGAGCACAGGCCCCUGGCAGGAACCUCCAGGAAGAGGACGUGAACUCAUUGGAUCAUGGAGAGGAAUGUACCUGGAGCAAAAAGAAGGAUGCUGACGACAUUGUGUCUGUUCCCUAGGGCUAGGGAAGCAGAUGGGGGCACCUCUUCUUCCAGGGACCAGAUCUGGCACAAGAUGUCUGCUCAGGCAACCCCACUGCCUGGCAUGCCCUCUCCCUAGGGACCAUCAAAUCUUCUUGUUUUCCUCAGUCUUAAUGUUUGAGGAGGACUGCCUCCUCUAGGAAACCCAUGGCCAUGGCUUUCCCUUCAGCAGAUUGGCACUGAAAUAGAAUUUGCCCUGCUAGCAGCAUUCUUAUCAUUGU